AAUCUGUGGUGCCAACAUUUUUGAAUGAACAUCUUGAAAUGUUCCCACGCCUCAUAAAAACUUUCUCCCUUCAUCUGUCUGAAUACAACAAUCUCUUUUCUUAGUUG
Molecule: non-coding RNA, 107 nt
Organism: Gossypium arboreum
Lineage: Eukaryota; Viridiplantae; Streptophyta; Magnoliopsida; Malvales; Malvaceae
Source: Rfam